This 397-nucleotide ribosomal RNA is filed under the name uncultured bacterium. RNAcentral describes it as "bacterial SSU rRNA". It matches the Rfam family "Bacterial small subunit ribosomal RNA", at positions 490 to 890 of the family's 1533-position model. The record is from RNAcentral.
GCCCCGGCUAACUACGUGCCAGCAGCCGCGGUAAUACGUAGGGGGCGAGCGUUGUCCGGAAUCAUUGGGCGUAAAGAGUACGUAGGCGGUAUGAUAAGUUAGGAGUAAAAGGCACCGGCUCAACCGGCGUAAGCUUUUAAAACUGUCAUACUUGAGACAUUGAGGGGAAAGUGGAAUUUCUAGUGUAGCGGUGAAAUGCGCAGAUAUUAGGAAGAAUACCAGAGGCGAAAGCGACUUUCUAGCGAUGCUCUGACGCUGAGGUACGAAAGCGUGGGAAGCAAACAGGAUUAGAUACCCUGGUAGUCCACGCCGUAAACGAUGAGUGCUAGAUGUCGGGUGUCAAAGCUCGGUAUCGCCGUUAACACAUUAAGCACUCCGCCUGGGGAGUACGUACGCA